This 2923-nucleotide ribosomal RNA is filed under the name Campylobacter coli. RNAcentral's name for it is "23S ribosomal RNA". It matches the Rfam family "Bacterial large subunit ribosomal RNA". The record is from RNAcentral. Lineage: Bacteria; Pseudomonadati; Campylobacterota; Epsilonproteobacteria; Campylobacterales; Campylobacteraceae.
AAAAAAGGUAAGCUACUAAGAGCGAAUGGUGGAUGCCUUGACUGGUAAAGGCGAUGAAGGACGUACUAGACUGCGAUAAGCUACGGGGAGCUGUCAAGAAGCUUUGAUCCGUAGAUUUCCGAAUGGGGCAACCCAAUGUAUAGAGAUAUACAUUACCUAUAUAGGAGCGAACGAGGGGAAUUGAAACAUCUUAGUACCCUCAGGAAAAGAAAUCAAUAGAGAUUGCGUCAGUAGCGGCGAGCGAAAGCGCAAGAGGGCAAACCCAGUGCUUGCACUGGGGGUUGUAGGACUGCAAUGUGCAAGAGGUGAGUUUAGCAGAACAUUCUGGAAAGUAUAGCCAUAGAGGGUGAUAGUCCCGUAUGCGAAAAACAAACCUUAGCUAGCAGUAUCCUGAGUAGGGCGGGACACGAGAAAUCCUGUCUGAAGCUGGGUCGACCACGAUCCAACCCUAAAUACUAAUACCAGAUCGAUAGUGCACAAGUACCGUGAGGGAAAGGUGAAAAGAACUGAGGUGAUCAGAGUGAAAUAGAACCUGAAACCAUUUGCUUACAAUCAUUCAGAGCCCUAUGUAGCAAUACAGGGUGAUGGACUGCCUUUUGCAUAAUGAGCCUGCGAGUUGUGGUGUCUGGCAAGGUUAAGCAAACGUGAAGCCGUAGCGAAAGCGAGUCUGAAUAGGGCGCUUAGUCAGAUGCUGCAGACCCGAAACGAAGUGAUCUAUCCAUGAGCAAGUUGAAGCUAGUGUAAGAACUAGUGGAGGACUGAACCCAUAGGCGUUGAAAAGCCCCGGGAUGACUUGUGGAUAGGGGUGAAAGGCCAAUCAAACUUCGUGAUAGCUGGUUCUCUCCGAAAUAUAUUUAGGUAUAGCGUUGUGUCGUAAUAUAAGGGGGUAGAGCACUGAAUGGGCUAGGGCAUACACCAAUGUACCAAACCCUAUCAAACUCCGAAUACCUUAUAUGUAAUCACAGCAGUCAGGCGGCGAGUGAUAAAAUCCGUCGUCAAGAGGGAAACAACCCAGACUACCAGCUAAGGUCCCUAAAUCUUACUUAAGUGGAAAACGAUGUGAAGUUACUUAAACAACCAGGAGGUUGGCUUAGAAGCAGCCAUCCUUUAAAGAAAGCGUAAUAGCUCACUGGUCUAGUGAUUUUGCGCGGAAAAUAUAACGGGGCUAAAGUAAGUACCGAAGCUGUAGACUUGAUUUUAUCAAGUGGUAGGAGAGCGUUCUAUUUGCGUCGAAGGUAUACCGGUAAGGAGUGCUGGAGCGAAUAGAAGUGAGCAUGCAGGCAUGAGUAGCGAUAAUUAAUGUGAGAAUCAUUAACGCCGUAAACCCAAGGUUUCCUACGCGAUGCUCGUCAUCGUAGGGUUAGUCGGGUCCUAAGUCGAGUCCGAAAGGGGUAGACGAUGGCAAAUUGGUUAAUAUUCCAAUACCAACAUUAGUGUGCGAUGGAAGGACGCUUAGGGCUAAGGGGGCUAGCGGAUGGAAGUGCUAGUCUAAGGUCGUAGGAGGUUAUACAGGCAAAUCCGUAUAACAAUACUCCGAGAACUGAAAGGCUUUUUGAAGUCUUCGGAUGGAUAGAAGAACCCCUGAUGCCAUCGAGCCAAGAAAAGUUUCUAAGUUUAGCUAAUGUUGCCCGUACCGUAAACCGACACAGGUGGGUGGGAUGAGUAUUCUAAGGCGCGUGGAAGAACUCUCUUUAAGGAACUCUGCAAAAUAGCACCGUAUCUUCGGUAUAAGGUGUGGUUCGCUUCGUAUUAGGAUUUACUCCGAAAGCGAAGAAACUUACAACAAAGAGUCCCUCCCGACUGUUUACCAAAAACACAGCACUCUGCUAACUCGUAAGAGGAUGUAUAGGGUGUGACGCCUGCCCGGUGCUCGAAGGUUAAUUGAUGGGGUUAGCAUUAGCGAAGCUCUUGAUCGAAGCCCGAGUAAACGGCGGCCGUAACUAUAACGGUCCUAAGGUAGCGAAAUUCCUUGUCGGUUAAAUACCGACCUGCAUGAAUGGCGUAACGAGAUGGGAGCUGUCUCAAAGAGGGAUCCAGUGAAAUUGUAGUGGAGGUGAAAAUUCCUCCUACCCGCGGCAAGACGGAGAGACCCCGUGGACCUUUACUACAGCUUGACACUGCUAUUUGGAUAAGAAUGUGCAGGAUAGGUGGGAGGCUUUGAGUAUAUGACGCCAGUUGUAUAUGAGCCAUUGUUGAGAUACCACUCUUUCUUAUUUGGGUAGCUAACCAGCUUGAGUUAUCCUCAAGUGGGACAAUGUCUGGUGGGUAGUUUGACUGGGGCGGUCGCCUCCCAAAUAAUAACGGAGGCUUACAAAGGUUGGCUCAGAACGGUUGGAAAUCGUUCGUAGAGUAUAAAGGUAUAAGCCAGCUUAACUGCAAGACAUACAAGUCAAGCAGAGACGAAAGUCGGUCUUAGUGAUCCGGUGGUUCUGUGUGGAAGGGCCAUCGCUCAAAGGAUAAAAGGUACCCCGGGGAUAACAGGCUGAUCUCCCCCAAGAGCUCACAUCGACGGGGAGGUUUGGCACCUCGAUGUCGGCUCAUCGCAUCCUGGGGCUGGAGCAGGUCCCAAGGGUAUGGCUGUUCGCCAUUUAAAGCGGUACGCGAGCUGGGUUCAGAACGUCGUGAGACAGUUCGGUCCCUAUCUGCCGUGGGCGUAAGAAGAUUGAAGAGAUUUGACCCUAGUACGAGAGGACCGGGUUGAACAAACCACUGGUGUAGCUGUUGUUCUGCCAAGAGCAUCGCAGCGUAGCUAAGUUUGGAAAGGAUAAACGCUGAAAGCAUCUAAGCGUGAAGCCAACUCUAAGAUGAAUCUUCUCUAAGCUCUCUAGAAGACUACUAGUUUGAUAGGCUGGGUGUGUAAUGGAUGAAAGUCCUUUAGCUGACCAGUACUAAUAGAGCGUUUGGCUUAUCUUUAAUAAAGCAU